RNAcentral lists this ribosomal RNA (331 nucleotides) under uncultured crenarchaeote. Its description in RNAcentral is "bacterial SSU rRNA". It matches the Rfam family "Archaeal small subunit ribosomal RNA", at positions 474 to 804 of the family's 1478-position model. The record is from RNAcentral. Lineage: Archaea; Thermoproteati; Thermoproteota.
AACCAGCACCUCAAGUGGUCAGGAUGAUUAUUGGGCCUAAAGCAUCCGUAGCCGGCUCUGUAAGUUUUNGGUUAAAUCUGUACGCUUAACGUACAGGCUGCCGGGAAUACUGCAAAGCUAGGGAGUGGGAGAGGUAGACGGUACUCGGUAGGAAAGUGGUAAAAUGCUUUGAUCUAUCGAUGACCACCUGUGGCGAAGGCGGUCUACCAGAACACGUCCGACGGUGAGGGAUGAAAGCUGGGGGAGCAAACCGGAUUAGAUACCCGGGUAGUCCCAGCUGUAAACUAUGCAAACUCAGUGAUGCAUUGGCUUGUGGCCCAUGCAGUGCUGC